RNAcentral lists this ribosomal RNA (369 nucleotides) under uncultured bacterium. Its description in RNAcentral is "bacterial SSU rRNA". It matches the Rfam family "Bacterial small subunit ribosomal RNA", at positions 527 to 898 of the family's 1533-position model. The record is from RNAcentral.
GGAGGGUGCAAGCGUUGUCCGGAUUUAUUGGGUUUAAAGGGUGCGCAGGCGGCGCGCUAAGUCAGUGGUGAAAUCCCGCAGCUCAACUGUGGAACUGCCAUUGAUACUGGCGUGCUUGAGUACGGACGAGGUAGGCGGAAUUUAUGGUGUAGCGGUGAAAUGCAUAGAUACCAUAAAGAACACCGAUAGCGAAGGCAGCUUACUAGACCGUAACUGACGCUCAUGCACGAAAGCGUGGGGAUCGAACAGGAUUAGAUACCCUGGUAGUCCACGCUGUAAACGAUGAUCACUCGAUGUGUGCGAUAUACUGUACGCGUCCAAGCGAAAGCGUUAAGUGAUCCACCUGGGGAGUACGUUCGCAAGAAUGAA